This 1391-nucleotide long non-coding RNA is filed under the name Homo sapiens (human). RNAcentral describes it as "HSALNT0129154". Lineage: Eukaryota; Metazoa; Chordata; Mammalia; Primates; Hominidae. The record is from RNAcentral.
AGAAUCGCUUGAACCUGGAAGGUGGUGGUUGCAGUGAGCCGAGAUUGUGCCACUGCACUCCAGCCUGGGCAAGAGAGCGAGACUCCGUCUCAAAAAAAAAAAAAAAAACCAACAAACCAACAAACAAAAAAAAGUAAGAAUUAGAAAGGAAACACAAAGUCAUUGAUUAGUCAGAAUUAUGCCUCAAGUACACACAUAAAUCUGUGCAUUUACAUGUUUACUCUUAGCUGUUCAUACUUGAUUUGCAUAUAGUUAUAGCAGAUCAAGAAGUCACAAACUUGAAAGAGAAAGAGUUGCUGCUGUGGAUGGAUCCAUAAACAAUGGUCUAAAAUUGGCCUAGGCCGGGCGCAGUGGCUCAUGCCUGUAAUCCCAGCACUUUGGGAGGCCAAGUUGGGAAGAUUGCUUGAGCCCGGGAGUUUGAGACCAGCCUGGGCAACACAGCAAGACCCCAUCUCUACAGUAUCAGUUUUUAAAAAUUAGCCUAAAGUCAAGAUAGGAAAGAAGGAAAUCUACCAAAAAUGGUCAUGGGAACUCAAAAAGUCAGCUGUGAGUUAGUGUGGAGGAUAAAUGGCCUUGUGUAACUCAAUCACUUUUGUAUUGACAUCACUGCAUGACCACAUGGUACAAAACAAAUCAUGGAACUGCAGAACAUGUGAAUUAGAUGAACAGUAUUGUCAGGCCAACCUCUGCAAGGUGUGUGUGUGUGCCUGUAAUCCCAGCUACUUCGGAGGCUGAGACAAGAGAAUUGUUUGAACCUGAGAGGCGGAGGUUGCAGUGAGCUGAGAUCAUGCCACUGUACUCUAGCCUGGGUGAUAGAGCAAGACUCUGUCUCAAAAAGAAAAGAAACUUGCUCCAGGUUGCACAGAUAGCCAGGCAGUGUGAGCGUGGGAGCCCGGAUCUCAAACCUAACUGGUCGGGGCUCUCUCUACCUCUCCACCCAGGACUCAGAACUGAGACCCCAAAUUUCCAAGAAAAGGGCAAAUUCUGUUCUAAGUAUCUUAUCUGAGACAGUAGGGGUAUGUGUAGUUGCCUUUGGGAAGAUUUCCACCAGAAAUGAUGCUAACAAAGAAAAGAUUGGGAGCAUAAAAGGGUCCUACAUGCACUGUUGCCCAUAAAUACAUAUCCCAGGUAUCUAGCUGACCCCCAGGAUGCCAGCAACAAAGGUUAUCCUAUGGUAGAAAGAAAUGGCCCCUUCCUUCAAGAAGCCCACGCAACCUUGGAGGGUCAGGGCAGGUGACCUGACUCACACCCAGGCAGAGGCCAACCAGGCCAUGAGAACCCAAGGGUGGGGCCACAGGGAGGCCUUCUGCCAGGACAGGCUGUGAUUCCCUGAAAUGUGCCAGGGGAGCGUGCGGAACAUCUUGUCAGAUAUAUAAAUAUCAGGCAGGCUU